This 238-nucleotide ribosomal RNA is filed under the name uncultured bacterium. Its description in RNAcentral is "partial 16S ribosomal RNA". It matches the Rfam family "Bacterial small subunit ribosomal RNA", at positions 524 to 761 of the family's 1533-position model. The record is from RNAcentral.
UACGAAGGGGGCUAGCGUUGCUCGGAAUUACUGGGCGUAAAGCGCACGUAGGCGGAUUGUUAAGUCGGGGGUGAAAUCCUGGAGCUCAACUCCAGAACUGCCUUCGAUACUGGCGAUCUCGAGUCCGGGAGAGGUGAGUGGAACUGCGAGUGUAGAGGUGGAAUUCGUAGAUAUUCGCAAGAACACCAGUGGCGAAGGCGGCUCACUGGCCCGGUACUGACGCUGAGGUGCGAAAGCG